GAGUGUUUGUACUUCCAUACUAAUAGAUAUAAAACAAAGGAGUGUUGCUUAACAAAAUACUCAAACUAUAAAGAAACAAAAGAGAAUUUAUCUAAAUUAAUAAGAUUCUAAUGCUUUCAUCAUCCUCCUUCUUAAAAAAAGUAAGUCUUAAAUAUAUCAAGUAAGGUCUUCAUCACUACUACUUUCAUCCCCCUCCUCCUGUUUAUCUUCUCAACCUUGAUUGUUUUUGCUAGAAUAUUGAUGAUUUAACGGUUGCAUAUCUUCUUGUGGUGGUUGAGCGCCCAAUGAGGUCAAUGUGUCUGUAUUUAAUUGAAGUCCUAGAUACAUACGCUUUAGUCGUCCAAGAAUAUCAUUUGUAACUUCUUGUUGUAUAGCUUCUUAUUGUUGUUCUAUUUUUUCAAAAAUCCUUUGAUGCAUCCUGUCUUCAAAUUUCAUCAUUUUUUUCCACCCUCUCAUCAUUAGAAGUUGAAAAAGGCUCAGAAAGCGCUUUCCAUUUAGAAGUAGUUUUGGUAACUCCUCGUCCAUACAAUCUCACGAUCCCUGGGUGUUCUUUACCCAUGACUGUUGUAAUAGCUUAAAAUAAAUGAUCGUCAUGUUUUCUUAUCUUCCAUCAUUCUACGUCUACUAAUCUUCCCAACUUUAAUCUUCCAUUGUCCUUCUUCUUCUAAGCUCCUCUAUGUUUUCUUCUUCUGCUAAGCUCCUGUAAUUA
RNAcentral lists this unclassified non-coding RNA (709 nucleotides) under Hevea brasiliensis (rubber tree). Lineage: Eukaryota; Viridiplantae; Streptophyta; Magnoliopsida; Malpighiales; Euphorbiaceae. The record is from RNAcentral.